CUCAGAUUGAACGCUGGCGGCAGGCUUAACACAUGCAAGUCGAGCGGGGGAAGGUAGCUUGCUACCGGACCUAGCGGCGGACGGGUGAGUAAUGCUUAGGAAUCUGCCUAUUAGUGGGGGACAACAUCUCGAAAGGGAUGCUAAUACCGCAUACGUCCUACGGGAGAAAGCAGGGGAUCUUCGGACCUUGCGCUAAUAGAUGAGCCUAAGUCGGAUUAGCUAGUUGGUGGGGUAAAGGCCUACCAAGGCGACGAUCUGUAGCGGGUCUGAGAGGAUGAUCCGCCACACUGGGACUGAGACACGGCCCAGACUCCUACGGGAGGCAGCAGUGGGGAAUAUUGGACAAUGGGGGGAACCCUGAUCCAGCCAUGCCGCGUGUGUGAAGAAGGCCUUAUGGUUGUAAAGCACUUUAAGCGAGGAGGAGGCUACUUUAGUUAAUACCUAGAGAUAGUGGACGUUACUCGCAGAAUAAGCACCGGCUAACUCUGUGCCAG
This 494-nucleotide ribosomal RNA is filed under the name Acinetobacter sp. Its description in RNAcentral is "bacterial SSU rRNA". It matches the Rfam family "Bacterial small subunit ribosomal RNA", at positions 23 to 511 of the family's 1533-position model. The record is from RNAcentral. Lineage: Bacteria; Pseudomonadati; Pseudomonadota; Gammaproteobacteria; Moraxellales; Moraxellaceae.